RNAcentral lists this unclassified non-coding RNA (400 nucleotides) under soil metagenome. Its description in RNAcentral is "partial contains 5.8S ribosomal RNA, internal transcribed spacer 2, and large subunit ribosomal RNA". The stretch from base 1 to 122 matches the Rfam family "5.8S ribosomal RNA", at positions 35 to 154 of the family's 154-position model. The record is from RNAcentral.
GAUGAAGAACGCAGCGAAAUGCGAUACUUGGUGUGAAUUGCAGAAUCCCGAGAACCAUCGAGUCUUUGAACGCAAGUUGCGCCUCAAGCCAUUAGGUUGAGGGCACGUCUGCCUGGGCGUCACAUAUCGUUGCCUGAUGCCAGUUUCCUCGUGAUGGGUGACUGUGCAGGGCGAAUGAUGGCUUCCCGUGAGCAUUGUUGCCUCAUGGUUGGUUGAAAAUUGAGUCCUUGGUAGGGAGCGCCGUGAUAGAUGGUGGUUGAGUGACGAACGAGACCCAAUCAUGUGAGACCCCUACCGAAUUUGGCCUUCAUGACCCACAUGCGUCUUUGGAACGCUCAUGACGAGACCUCAGGUCAGGCGGGGCUAACCGCUGAGUUUAAGCAUAUCAAUAAGCGGAGGA